CCCUUAGAUGUUCUGGGCCGCACACGCGCUACACUGAAGGAGGCAGCGUGUACUCCUGGAUCGAAAGAUUUGGGUAACCCGCGAAUCUCCUUCGUGCUAGGGAUUGAGGUUUGCAAUUAUCCUUCAUGAACGAGGAAUUCCCAGUAAGUGCAAGUCAUAAGCUUGCGCUGACUACGUCCCUGCCCUUUGUACACACCGCCCGUCGCUACUACCGAUCGAAUGAUUUAGUGAGGACUUCGGACUGGGACCGAUGCGGCUUUCGGGCUGCGUCGGUAUUCUGGAAAGAUGUCCAAACUGUAUCAUUUAGAGGAAGUAAAAGUCGUAACA
Molecule: ribosomal RNA, 327 nt
Filed under: uncultured eukaryote
Lineage: Eukaryota
Description: partial 18S ribosomal RNA
Rfam family: Eukaryotic small subunit ribosomal RNA
Source: RNAcentral